RNAcentral lists this ribosomal RNA (533 nucleotides) under uncultured bacterium. RNAcentral describes it as "bacterial SSU rRNA". It matches the Rfam family "Bacterial small subunit ribosomal RNA", at positions 777 to 1307 of the family's 1533-position model. The record is from RNAcentral.
AAUAGAUACCCAGGUAGUCCACGCCGUAAACGAUGAUAACUAGCUGUCCGGGGCUCAUGGAGCUUGGGUGGCGCAGCUAACGCAUUAAGUUAUCCGCCUGGGGAGUACGGUCGCAAGAUUAAAACUCAAAGGAAUUGACGGGGGCCUGCACAAGCGGUGGAGCAUGUGGUUUAAUUCGAAGCAACGCGCAGAACCUUACCAGCCUUUGACAUCCCGGUCGCGGUUACCAGAGAUGGUUUCCUUCAGUUCGGCUGGACCGGUGACAGGUGCUGCAUGGCUGUCGUCAGCUCGUGUCGUGGGAUGUUGGGUUAAGUCCCGCAACGAGCGCAACCCUCGUCCUUAGUUGCCAUCAUUUAGUUGGGCACUCUAAGGAAACCGCCGGUGAUAAGCCGGAGGAAGGUGGGGAUGACGUCAAGUCCUCAUGGCCCUUACAGGCUGGGCUACACACGUGCUACAAUGGCGGUGACAGUGGGCAGCGACCCCGCAAGGGUGAGCUAAUCUCCAAAAGCCGUCUCAGUUCGGAUUGUUCUCUG